UACGUAGGCAGCAAGCGUUGUUCGGAGUUACUGGGCGUAAAGAGUGCGUAGGCGGUUUUCUAAGUUUGGUGUGAAAUCUCCCGGCUUAACUGGGAGGGUGCGCCGAAGACUGGAAGGCUUGAGUAUGGGAGAGGUAAGCGGAAUUCCUGGUGUAGCGGUGAAAUGCGUAGAUAUCAGGAGGAACACCUGCGGUGUAGACGGCUUACUGGACCAUCACUGACGCUGAGGCACGAAAGCGUGGGUAGCAAACAGG
RNAcentral lists this ribosomal RNA (253 nucleotides) under uncultured bacterium. Its description in RNAcentral is "partial 16S ribosomal RNA". It matches the Rfam family "Bacterial small subunit ribosomal RNA", at positions 524 to 776 of the family's 1533-position model. The record is from RNAcentral.